This 278-nucleotide ribosomal RNA is filed under the name uncultured soil bacterium. Its description in RNAcentral is "partial 16S ribosomal RNA". It matches the Rfam family "Bacterial small subunit ribosomal RNA", at positions 26 to 307 of the family's 1533-position model. The record is from RNAcentral.
AGGACGAACGCUGGCGGCGUGCUUAACACAUGCAAGUCGAGCGGAAAGGCCUUUCGGGGUACUCGAGCGGCGAACGGGUGAGUAACACGUGAGUAAUCUGCCCAUCGCUUCAGGAUAGCCAUCGGAAACGGUGAUUAAUACUGGAUAUGACAUUCCUUCGCAUGUUGGGGUGUGGAAAGUUUUUUCGGCGGUGGAUGUGCUCGCGGCCUAUCAGCUUGUUGGUGGGGUAAUGGCCUACCAAGGCUUUGACGGGUAGCCGGCCUGGAGAGGGUGACCGG